CUCCCGGCCGNNNNGGCGGCCGCGGGANUCGAUUAGAGUUUGAUCCUGGCUCAGGACGAACGCUGGCGGCGUGCUUAACACAUGCAAGUCGAACGAUGAACUGGAGCUUGCUCCAGGAAUUAGUGGCGAACGGGUGAGUAACACGUGAGUAACCUGCCCUUGACUCUGGGAUAAGCGCUAGAAAUGGCGUCUAAUACCGGAUACGAGCUUCAGCCGCAUGGCUAGGAGUUGGAAAGAAUUUUGGUCAAGGAUGGACUCGCGGCCUAUCAGCUAGUUGGUGAGGUAAUGGCUCACCAAGGCGACGACGGGUAGCCGGCCUGAGAGGGUGACCGGCCACACUGGGACUGAGACACGGCCCAGACUCCUACGGGAGGCAGCAGUGGGGAAUAUUGCACAAUGGGCGAAAGCCUGAUGCAGCAACGCCGCGUGAGGGAUGACGGCCUUCGGGUUGUAAACCUCUUUUAGUAGGGAAGAAGCGAAAGUGACGGUACCUGCAGAAAAAGCACCGGCUAACUACGUGCCAGCAGCCGCGGUAAUACGUAGGGUGCAAGCGUUGUCCGGAAUUAUUGGGCGUAAAGAGCUCGUAGGCGGUUUGUCGCGUCUGCUGUGAAAUCUGGGGGCUCAACCCCCAGCCUGCAGUGGGUACGGGCAGACUAGAGUGCGGUAGGGGAGAUUGGAAUUCCUGGUGUAGCGGUGGAAUGCGCAGAUAUCAGGAGGAACACCGAUGGCGAAGGCAGAUCUCUGGGCCGUAACUGACGCUGAGGAGCGAAAGCAUGGGGAGCGAACAGGAUUAGAUACCCUGGUAGUCCAUGCCGUANACGUUGGGAACUAGAUGUGGGGGCCAUUCCACGGUCUCCGUGUCGCAGCUAACGCAUUAAGUUCCCCGCCUGGGGAGUACGGCCGCAAGGCUAANACUCAAAGGAAUUGACGGGGGCCCGCACAAGCGGCGGAGCAUGCGGAUUAAUUCGAUGCAACGCGAAGAACCUUACCAAGGCUUGACAUAUACCGGAAA
Molecule: ribosomal RNA, 1012 nt
Filed under: bacterium B02
Lineage: Bacteria
Description: bacterial SSU rRNA
Rfam family: Bacterial small subunit ribosomal RNA
Source: RNAcentral